RNAcentral lists this ribosomal RNA (224 nucleotides) under Veillonella tobetsuensis. Its description in RNAcentral is "partial 23S ribosomal RNA". It matches the Rfam family "Bacterial large subunit ribosomal RNA", at positions 1 to 228 of the family's 2925-position model. Lineage: Bacteria; Bacillati; Bacillota; Negativicutes; Veillonellales; Veillonellaceae. The record is from RNAcentral.
UAAGUAAAGAUUUUAAGGGCGUACGGUGGAUGCCUUGGCGAUAUCAGCCGAAGAAGGACGCGGUAAGCUGCGAUAAGCUACGGAGAGGUGCAAGCAACCUUUGACCCGUAGAUUUCCGAAUGGGGGAACCCGGCAGUGGUUAUGCACUGUCACCCAUACCUUUGAGUAUGAGGAGGGCACCUGGGGAACUGAAACAUCUAAUUACCCAGAGGAAGAGUAAUCAA